RNAcentral lists this ribosomal RNA (384 nucleotides) under uncultured prokaryote. RNAcentral describes it as "bacterial SSU rRNA". It matches the Rfam family "Archaeal small subunit ribosomal RNA", at positions 341 to 725 of the family's 1478-position model. The record is from RNAcentral.
GCGAAAACUUUACAAUGCUGGCAACAGCGAUAAGGGAACCUCGAGUGCCAGGUUACAAAUCUGGCUGUCGAGAUGCCUAAAAAGCAUUUCAUAGCAAGGGCCGGGCAAGACCGGUGCCAGCCGCCGCGGUAACACCGGCGGCUCGAGUGGUAACCGCUAUUAUUGGGUCUAAAGGGUCUGUAGCCGGCCGGAUAAGUCUCUUGAGAAAUCUGGCAGCUUAACUGUCAGGCUUUCAGGAGAUACUGUCUGGCUGGAGGCCGGGAGAGGUGAGAGGUACUUCAGGGGUAGGGGUGAAAUCUUGUAAUCCUUGAAGGACCACCAGUGGCGAAGGCGUCUCACCAGAACGGACCUGACGGCAAGGGACGAGAGCUAGUGGCACGAACC